AGAACGCUGGCGGCGUGCCUUACACAUGCAAGUCGAGCGAGGCCUCACCUUCUGGNGCCUGUCCUAGCGGGGAACGNGGGAGAAACACGCGUGNCAACCUGGCCCUAGCACUGGGGAUNACUCCGGGAAACCGGGGCUUAUACCCGGAUACCANCUUACGAAGGCAUAUUGUGAGGCGGAAAAGGCUACUGCUUUGGGAUGGGCCCNNGGCCUAUCAGCUUGUUGGUGGGGUAACGGCCUACCAAGGCUNCGACNNGUAGCCGGCCUGAGAGGNCGACCGGCCACACUGGGACUGAGACACGGCCCAGACUCCUACGGGAGGCAGCAAGUGGGGAAUAUUGCACAAUGGGCGAAAGCCUGAUGCAGCAACGCCCGCGUGAGGGAUGACGGCCUUCGGGUUGUAAACCUCUUUACCAGGAA
Molecule: ribosomal RNA, 420 nt
Filed under: bacterium Ellin424
Lineage: Bacteria; Bacillati; Actinomycetota; Actinomycetes; Actinomycetales
Description: partial 16S ribosomal RNA
Rfam family: Bacterial small subunit ribosomal RNA
Source: RNAcentral